RNAcentral lists this ribosomal RNA (497 nucleotides) under uncultured bacterium. RNAcentral's name for it is "partial 16S ribosomal RNA". It matches the Rfam family "Bacterial small subunit ribosomal RNA", at positions 28 to 507 of the family's 1533-position model. The record is from RNAcentral.
GAUGAACGCUGGCGGCGUGCCUAAUACAUGCAAGUCGAGCGAACAGACGAGGAGCUUGCUCCUCUGACGUUAGCGGCGGACGGGGGAGUAACACGUGGAUAACCUACCUAUAAGACUGGGAUAACUUCGGUAAACCGGAGCUAAUACCGGAUAAUAUAUUGAACCGCAUGGUUCAAUAGUGAAAGACGGUUUUGCUGUCACUUAUAGAUGGAUCCGCGCCGCAUUAGCUAGUUGGUAAGGUAACGGCUUACCAAGGCAACGAUGCGUAGCCGACCUGAGAGGGUGAUCGGCCACACUGGAACUGAGACACGGUCCAGACUCCUACGGUAGGCAGCAGUAGGGAAUCUUCCGCAAUGGGCGAAAGCUUGACGGAGCAACGCCGCGUGAGUGAUGAAGGUCUUCGGAUCGUAGAACUCUGUUAUUAGGGAAGAACAAAUGUGUAAGUAACUAUGCACGUCUUGACGGUACCUAAUCAGAAAGCCACGGCUAACUACGUG